GAUGAACGCUGGCGGCGUGCCUAAUACAUGCAAGUCGAGCGAACAGACGAGGAGCUUGCUCCUUUGACGUUAGCGGCGGACGGGUGAGUAACACGUGGGUAACCUACCUAUAAGACUGGGAUAACUUCGGGAAACCGGAGCUAAUACCGGAUAAUAUUUCGAACCGCAUGGUUCGAUAGUGAAAGAUGGCCCUGCUAUCACUUAUAGAUGGAUCUGCGCCGGAUUAGCUAGUUGGUAAGGUAACGGCUUACCAAGGCAACGAUACAUAGCCGACCUGAGAGGGUGAUCGGCCACACUGGAACUGAGACACGGUCCAGACUCCUACGGGAGGCAGCAGUAGGGAAUCUUCCGCAAUGGGCGAAAGCCUGACGGAGCAACGCCGCGUGAGUGAUGAAGGUCUUCGGAUCGUAAAACUCUGUUAUUAGGGAAGAACAAACGUGUAAGUAACUGUGCACGUCUUGACGGUACCUAAUCAGAAAGCCACGGCUAACUACGUG
RNAcentral lists this ribosomal RNA (497 nucleotides) under uncultured bacterium. Its description in RNAcentral is "partial 16S ribosomal RNA". It matches the Rfam family "Bacterial small subunit ribosomal RNA", at positions 28 to 507 of the family's 1533-position model. The record is from RNAcentral.